Molecule: RNA transcript, 4466 nt
Organism: Acipenser ruthenus (sterlet)
Lineage: Eukaryota; Metazoa; Chordata; Actinopteri; Acipenseriformes; Acipenseridae
Gene name: zinc finger protein 501-like
Exons: 4
Source: RefSeq, a predicted model, not a curated record
GAGUCUGCAUGGAGCUCUACAAUGUGUUUAUAAACUACAGAGCGCUGUUAUAUUGUAUUAUUUUGAAAGGUCCGGGUUGUAGUGUGGUAGGAGCGCGUUGUUUUAUCCGUUCAGACACUGAGGGAGAGCAGAGAGGAGGUGAGAGAGUCUGCAUGGAGCUCUACAAUGUGUUUAUAAACUACAGAGCGCUGUUAUAUUGUAUUAUUUUGAAGGGUCCGGGUUGUAGUGUGGUAGGAGCGCGUUGUUUUAUCCGUUCAGACACUGAGGGAGAGCAGAGAGGAGGUGAGAGAGUCUGCAUGGAGCUCUACAAUGUGUUUAUAAACUACAGAGCGCUGUUAUAUUGUAUUAUUUUGAAAGGUCCGGGUUGUAGUGUGGUAGGAGCGCGUUGUUUUAUCCGUUCAGACACUGAGGGAGAGCAGAGAGGAGGUGAGAGAGUCUGCAUGGAGCUCUACAAUGUGUUUAUAAACUACAGAGCGCUGUUAUAUUGUAUUAUUUUGAAAGGUCCGGGUUGUAGUGUGGUAGGAGCGCGUUGUUUUAUCCGUUCAGACACUGAGGGAGAGCAGAGAGGAGGUGAGAGAGUCUGCAUGGAGCUCUACAAUGUGUUUAUAAACUACAGAGCGCUGUUAUAUUGUAUUAUUUUGAAGGGUCCGGGUUGUAGUGUGGUAGGAGCGCGUUGUUUUAUCCGUUCAGACACUGAGGGAGAGCAGAGAGGAGGUGAGAGAGUCUGCAUGGAGCUCUACAAUGUGUUUAUAAACUACAGAGCGCUGUUAUAUUGUAUUAUUUUGAAAGGUCCGGGUUGUAGUGUGGUAGGAGCGCGUUGUUUUAUCCGUUCAGACACUGAGGGAGAGCAGAGAGGAGGUGAGAGAGUCUGCAUGGAGCUCUACAAUGUGUUUAUAAACUACAGAGCGCUGUUAUAUUGUAUUAUUUUGAAAGGUCCGGGUUGUAGUGUGGUAGGAGCGCGUUGUUUUAUCCGUUCAGACACUGAGGGAGAGCAGAGAGGAGGUGAGAGAGUCUGCAUGGAGCUCUACAAUGUGUUUAUAAACUACAGAGCGCUGUUAUAUUGUAUUAUUUUGAAAGGUCCGGGUUGUAGUGUGGUAGGAGCGCGUUGUUUUAUCCGUUCAGACACUGAGGGAGAGCAGAGAGGAGGUGAGAGAGUCUGCAUGGAGCUCUACAAUGUGUUUAUAAACUACAGAGCGCUGUUAUAUUGUAUUAUUUUGAAAGGUCCGGGUUGUAGUGUGGUAGGAGCGCGUUGUUUUAUCCGUUCAGACACUGAGGGAGAGCAGAGAGGAGGUGAGAGAGUCUGCAUGGAGCUCUACAAUGUGUUUAUAAACUACAGAGCGCUGUUAUAUUGUAUUAUUUUGAAAGGUCCGGGUUGUAGUGUGGUAGGAGCGCGUUGUUUUAUCCGUUCAGACACUGAGGGAGAGCAGAGAGGAGUUGCAGUCUCCGUGCCGCGGGCUCAGUGCUGCUCGAGUGGCGGGUUUCCAGUCAAAAUGAACUCGUGUUGAAAACAUCUAGCGAAUCUGAAGAGAAGAAAGGACACAUUCACUGAGGAGAUGGUCAGAGUGAGUGACUGGAGCACUAGAGCCGUGCUGCACAUCCCACUGACAAUACCUGAAGACUGUCUUAUCCAGGUGAAAGCCAAGGAAAAAGAUAGUCUGUUCACAUUAAACAGGAGAUGCCUGUCCACUUUAAAGAAGAGACUGAACUGGAGCCAGAGCCUGUCCACAUUAAAGAAGAGACUGAACUGGAGCCUGUCCACAUUAAAGAGGAAGAGACUGAACUGGAGCCUGUCCACAUUAAAGAAGAGACUGAACUGGAGCCUGUCCACAUUAAAUUAGAAAAGAUUGAACUGCAGCCUGUCCACAUUGAAGAAGAAUCUAUUGACUUGUUUAAGGAUUCAGAAAACAUAUCCCAGCCACAGAUAUCACAACAAUGCACUGAAUGUGAGAAGAGCUUCAGUUCGUUAGGAUACCUAAAAAUACACCAGAGAAUUCACACUGGAGGGAAGCCAUAUCACUGUGCUGACUGUGGGAAGAGCUUCCGUCAGUUAGGAAACCUAAAAAGACACCAGAGAAUUCACACUGGAGAGAAGCCGUAUUACUGUUUUGAAUGUGGGGAGAGAUUCAAUGAGUCAGGAAACCUAAAAACACACUUGCGAAUUCACACAGGAGAGAAGCCGUAUCAGUGCUCUGACUGUGAGAAGAGCUUCCGUCGGUUAGGAGACCUAAAAAGACACCAGAGAAUUCACACUGGACGGAAGCCGUAUCACUGUGCUGACUGUGGGAAGAGCUUCAGUCAGUUAGGAUGCCUUAAAAUACACCAGCGAAUUCACACUGGAGAGAAGCCGUAUCAGUGCUCUGACUGUGAGAAGAGCUUCCGUCAGUUAGGAGACCUAAAAAGACACCAGAGAAUUCACACUGGAGAGAAGCCGUAUUACUGUUUUGAAUGUGGGGAGAGAUUCAAUGAGUCAGGAAACCUAAAAACACACUUGCGAAUUCACACUGGAGAGAAGCCGUAUCAGUGCUCUGACUGUGAGAAGAGCUUCGUUCGGUUAGGAGCCCUAAAAAGACACCAGAGAAUUCACACUGGAGGGAAGCCAUAUCACUGUGCUGACUGUGGGAAGAGCUUCCGUCAGUUAGGAAACCUAAAAACACACUUGCUAAUUCACACUGGAGAGAAGCCGUAUCACUGUUCUGACUGUGAGAAGAGCUUCUGUCAGUUAGGAGACCUAAAAAGACACCAGCGAAUUCACACUGGAGCCAGCCUCACCCCCACCCACCCCCUCCCAGUCCCUCACCCCCUCCCAGUCCCUCACCUCUCCACCCUGCUUGUUUGUGUGCGUGGAGAGCUGUCUGAUUCCUUGUCUCUCUCUCACCCUGCAGUAAAUGAAGGGGGUCCCCAGGAGUGAGAGCCAGCCUGAAUCCAGAGACACUGAGAAGGGGAGCGUGUCAAACUCAAGGAGACAGACCCAUUCUUUCAGAAUGAACUGAAGAACCCUGGGAUUCAGCUCCACUCCUGCCCCUGAAUUAAAAAUGAAUCUCGCUCAUCAUGCUGUGGAUUUAAGACAGUUACAGGGUCAUUCUACUUAUAUGUGUGAUAUGAACCCAACACAUUAAGCUGCCAAUAACAUACAUCAUUUUUAAUGUAAUUUGAGCUGCAAAUGGCAUUACUGUACCAGUGUGGGUGAGUACAGCAUAAGAUAAAGGAUUGAAUUGUUUAAAAUAAAUGAAAACUAAGAAUAUCUUCAUGGGUGUGGCAACAAUGUGUGCUUCAUCUAACUAGAAUGGCCUCUAAGCUAUUGCACCAGUGCAAACACAAGCUGUGAAGCAACGUUGUGCUUUUUAAUUAUGUGUUUUAUUUCAAGUGGUGCAAACCUUGCACUGCAGCAAACGCUGUUUUGGUUUUGAAUGAAUUUGAAUAAAAAUGUGUAUAUCCAAUUAUUAUGACGUCCCCACAAUAGUAGAGCUGUAUAAAUAUACUGUAAAACAUGAAAGGUUUGCAAGCAAACUAUUUGAACAUUUUGCAUGUGUUAAAAAUCUGCAGAACCUACAUGCUGCAACAUUACCAUUAUUACUACAUUCAUAGUUUAUACAGUUUAUGAAUAAUUGAUCUAAACAAUCUGCAGAAUGAAGUUGCCUCAGACUGUUUGACAGUAACAGAGCUGGUGCUUUUGUGGAAUCACCAUUAGCUGUUUAUUCCCUUUGGGUAAAAUAUGGCUUGUUUGCUUGUAUUUUUUAUUAGUAUGCUAUCAUUAGAAUGACCUUACAGUACAUAUUAAGGCAAGCUUAGCUAUUUAGAGAGAGUUUCAUUGAGUUUGAGAUCUUGUACGUUUUCCAUUGUCUCUGUAUAUAAAGGGUGUGUGAGAAAUUCCUAGUUGUAAUUGAAUGUUCUUUGUAAAAUUACAUUUCAAAUCUUAAACUGAGACUUCAGAUGCUGUGAUGUUAAUUAAGUUUGUCUUCCUUCCCCAUAACGUUCUCUAGAUCUACUUCAAAGGACUAGAUAUUAGUAACAGGGUGGUAAAGAUUUCCAUUGGAGAAUAGUUUAGAUUCCCUGCUGUGCUGCCCUGCCUGUCUGGUAUAAACAAACAGAGCUGAUUCUUAUCUUUAAAUUAAGACUGUCUGAAAGCAAAUACACAACUUUCUUAAGAAGUGUGACACCUGGUGGACACGAGCUGUCAUCACUCUCCCAUGAAAUUAAUUAUCAUGAAACACUGAACAUUAAUGUGAAUAUAAUUCCUAAUUUCCUUAUCUAAAAGUGAAUUGAAAAAAAAAGCCUUUACGGGGGUAUAAUAUUAACUUGUUUAACAAUCUCUGGGUUUUAGAUUUACUAAAACUAUUAGACUGAAAUGUAACAGAAGUAAAACUUACUGAUCAAUUGGUUUUAUUAUUUCAAUUACUAAUCUUGCACAUGCAAGUUUAAGAGUUGUUUAAGUGUGUUUUCCCAAUAAAAUUGAAAGGUUUAUUGCA